AUUUCUUGUUUUUUUUUUAUAUCUAUUAUUUCUUAAGUGAACAUUUUUAUAGAAAACAGGAUAAAAUGAAUUUAAAUGACAGUCAAUAUUUUACUCUUUUCAAAAACUAUAACAAAAGUACAUUUAUAAAGAACAAAAGAAUAAAAAACAGACAUUAUUGUAUAACAAUGUCAACAACGUAACUCAUGCAUUGUCAAUAAAAGAAUAAUCUUUACCCUGUUCAAAUGUUUAUUAUAUAUUUCUUUUUCACAGGUAGGUAUAUAUGAGAGGACAAAGAUUCAAUCGACUGAGAGAAAAUGAUAAAAAGAAAUAACUUAAAUAUAUUGACAUCAAGUGACAAUGAAUAUAUCUUUAACAGAUAAAUCUGUUAAAACAUUAAUAAUUGACAUAGAACGAAUUGAAUAAGCGAAUAUAAACAAGAGAACAUUUUUUUUUUAUUGCAGAGGCAGUAAGGUGUUUGACGAGACAAAGAGAGUUUAAUAUACCUUUACGUAUAUAUAUGUUGAGUACAAUAACAGAGUCUUUCGAGAGCAAAAGCGAUAUGAACAAUAAGAAUGUGAUAUGAUGGGGUUAUAUGUUUGUGUAUGUAUCGCUGUUGUAUAGUAAAACUACAUUUAAGCACAAGACGAAAAUGAUAUCAAGAACUUUAAGUACAUUUGAAAAAUUAUACGAACACUUUAAUCAUAUUAAAGUGAAUAAUUGAGGAAAGGUGAUUUAAUAAUAAUGAAAGGUUCUAGAAACAAAUUGAACAAUUGCGAAAAUUAAUCUCUCAAGUUUGCAUCAAAUUUUGCAAUGAAGAAGAUGAAAAUGAUUCGGCGAUUCAAAAGCAUUGAGAAUGAUUCAACAAUAAUGAGAGGCAAUGGAAAAAAAUUGGACAAUCGCAAAAAAGGAGUGGUGUUUCAAGUCUGGAUAAAAUCUGGUGGUAGUGGUGGUGGAGGUGCGAGAACGGCACGCGACACUUGCUGGCUAUGAACCCUAUAUAUACAUAUAUGCGUGUCCCAAGAGUGUAUUGCUCUUUGUAAAUGUAUACAUAAUGAGAGGUGGGCGCGAGUAAAGCAAAAGAAAAUCUUGGGAGGAUUGAAUUGCGCCGUGGUAGCAGCCAUCGUCCUCGGUGACAGCGGCUCUUUGUAUGAGAAAGUCAGAAGGAAUGGUGAUACGUGUUGAUAGAAUCAAAAGAGACACACAAGGAGGGGGAGGAUAAUCGGGGGAAAUCAAGAUUCUUAGGAACAACCCGCUUUUUGAUCCAUUUAAAUACGUGCUGCGCAACUAUUGGAAAAAGUGCGCCGGCGUAUUAAGGCCGCUUUACAGUUAUGUAAGGUCGUGAAACAAUAAACUUCUGAUGCUCGAGUAUAAAGCAGCAAACCUCUUAAUUUCAUCAGGAUUCAAUCCUGUGCUUUUAUAUAAAGUAACACUUAAUAACAGGGUAAUAUAGAGUCAUUGAACUCUUAAUAAGUCACACUUUUCAUUAUUAAAUUAAAGAAAAUUAUAUUCGUGACAUUGAAAGAAAACAAAACAAUAAAAAAACUAGCAUGUUUUUUUUUUAAUUAAUUACUUAAUUUUUUAAAUUUAUAACAAUAUCUACAAUUUUCAAAAAGUUAGGGAAAUUUUCUUAAAACAUAUUAAAAUUUUGAAGAAAAUAAAAGAUUUAAUUUAUUUAAUUAAAUUAUACAAAUUUUAAUCCUUGAAAAUAAUAAAGAAAAUUGAAUUUUUUUACACUUUGGAUUUAGUGUUUCAAAUUUCAUUUUUUUUUUAAAGUGAAUUUUUACUCCAAUACACACAAGCAGUACAAAAAAAAAUAGGAGUAGAAUUUCAUGAAAAACAAAAAAUUUUUUUUUGAAAGGAAACAGCAGUUUAAUCAACAAAAAUUAAAAAUAUCCUUUUGGUAUGAUAUUAUAACAAGAGAACUCGCUAAUUUUCCCAACUAUAUAUACUAUAUAUAUAUAUAAGUAAAACACAUCUUCCUCCUGGAAUAUCAAGUACAAUUAUAAAAAUCAUUAAAUCAAAAUACAUUGAAUAUUUUUCACGUUGAAAUUUACAAGAUAAACUGUUUACUUAGUGAUAUGUAAAAUAACUUAAUUAUAAACGCAUUAUUCUCUGAUGAAGUACUGCAAAAAGUGGAAGUACGCAAUGGAAAGUGAAACUGUUUCUAAAAUAGUAAAUGCAAA
Long non-coding RNA from Leptopilina boulardi, 2165 nucleotides. RefSeq lists it as uncharacterized. The record is from RefSeq and is a predicted model, not a curated record. The transcript has 5 exons. Lineage: Eukaryota; Metazoa; Arthropoda; Insecta; Hymenoptera; Figitidae.